RNAcentral lists this ribosomal RNA (407 nucleotides) under uncultured bacterium. RNAcentral describes it as "partial 16S ribosomal RNA". It matches the Rfam family "Bacterial small subunit ribosomal RNA", at positions 30 to 526 of the family's 1533-position model. The record is from RNAcentral.
AUUGAACGCUGGCGGCAGGCCUAACACAUGCAAGUCGAACGGAGUGGCGGACGGGUGAGUAAUGUCUAGGUAUGUGCCUGGUAGUGGGGGAUAACGACCGGAACCGGUAGCUAAUACCGCAUACUAUUGGAUUCGCCUAGGUCGGAUUAGCUAGUUGGGGGGGUAAAGGCCUACCAAGGCGACGAUCCGUAACUGGUUUGAGAGGAUGACCAGUCACACUGGAACUGAGACACGGUCCAGACUCCUACGGGAGGCAGCAGUGGGGAAUAUUGGACAAUGGGCGAAAGCCUGAUCCAGCCAUGCCGCGUGUGUGAAGAAGGUCUUCGGAUUGUAAAGCACUUUAAGUUGGGAGGCGUUACCAGCAGAAUAAGCACCGGCUAACUUCGUGCCAGCAGCCGCGGUAAUUC